CAAGUCAGAACUCAUGAUAGAAGGACUAAAUCACGUAAUAAUUAUUUCUAGAGAUUCAUUAUUUUUAUUCUACUAGGUUGCCACUACAUACUGCUAGGUAUCAUUGGUGGAUUGUGAGACUCGUCGAGCAUUGUCUUGAUGAUCGAUGACUCUCAAAAGAUAGAAUUAAAAUUAUUCCAACCCAUCGAAAGGAGUUUCAAUGAUAUUAU
This 209-nucleotide long non-coding RNA is filed under the name Elaeis guineensis (African oil palm). RNAcentral describes it as "long non-coding RNA (EGUI_LNC058339)". The record is from RNAcentral. Lineage: Eukaryota; Viridiplantae; Streptophyta; Magnoliopsida; Arecales; Arecaceae.